Notechis scutatus (mainland tiger snake) is the source of this 754-nucleotide non-coding RNA. The record is from RefSeq and is a predicted model, not a curated record. Lineage: Eukaryota; Metazoa; Chordata; Lepidosauria; Squamata; Elapidae.
CCGAAAUUUAACAAAAUUCCUUUCUACCUCCAACCUCAUUCUUCUUCAGGAGCAAAAACAUUAAAGAAGGAUCGGCUCUCAGCCAGUGAUAUGUUACAAGUUAGGAAGGUGAUGGAGCAUGUUUACGAAAAAAUAAUAAACCUAGACAAUGAGUCUCAGAUGACAAGCUCUUGCAAUAAUGAAAAAGCUGGGGAACAAGAAAAAGAGGAAGACAUCACAGUUCUAGCAGAGGAGAAGAUUGAACUCUUGUGUCAAGACCAGGUUUUGGAUCCAAAUAUGGACCUUCGAACUGUCAAGCAUUUCAUAUGGAAAAGUGGGGGUGACUUGACACUUCACUACCGACAGAAGUCAACGUGAGCCAAGUGGUGGACCCAACUGGUUAUUUAACUAAUUAACCAGCUUCCUGUGCUGGUUCCACCUUAGUACUCUAGGAGCCCACUUAAAUGCUACGUUCUGACAUUUUAAAUGCCUCAGCACAGACAGAAUCUACUUGAGGUGACUAAUAAAUAUGUAACAUAGAUUAAAUCGGUAUGAUGUAAAUUCAAGAUUGUCCAUAGCAAGGUCAAGCAAGAGUGAUAUAAGAACCCCUUGACUUGUUCCUAUUAAGGUGUGUACAGAGACAAGGUGACCCAGUGCAGAUAUCUGCAGUUCUCUGUUUAUUUCCAAGAUUAUCAUCCUUCAUUCACUCAAGCUUGAUAUGAAAACUCUUUCAGUCCUGCUGUUCAUUCUCAGGUUUGUUUGUUUUAAAAAAACA